This 463-nucleotide long non-coding RNA is filed under the name Coturnix japonica (Japanese quail). RNAcentral's name for it is "lncRNA (ENSCJPG00005007696.1)". The record is from RNAcentral. Lineage: Eukaryota; Metazoa; Chordata; Aves; Galliformes; Phasianidae.
GAUAUCUAUUAAAAAAAAAAACAAAGAAAAAAAGAAGGAAAAAAGACCCCGCCUCCUCCUCCCCCCCUCCCCCCCCCUCUUCUGCGCUCCGGUCCGUACAUCUUUUGUCUUAAAUUCGCUCCCUUCUCUUUUUGUUGCCCCCUUUUAAAUCCGCGUUGAUUUACGCGGAGCGUUUCGAGGCUCGGAAGGAAAUGUCCGUUUCGUUGGCUGGAAUCGACGCUGCUUAGAGCUGUUUAACGCCGGGACAGCGGGACGGCCGCUUAGUGCGGAGCUCGGCGCUGCGCAGCGCGGACCCCCGACGACCCCCAAGCAGCAGCCACCGCAAACACAACUCUCAGCCAAGAGCACAAAGAGCCCCGACCAUUUCGCGGUGACUGAUUUAUGGCGUUUUACAACCCCAUAAAAAGCUGUAACAACCAGCCAAAAGCCUUCGACACCGCUGGCACAUUUAGUCUAAUAAAUA